GGAUGAAGAACGUAGCGAAAUGCGAUAAGUAGUGUGAAUUGCAGAAUUCAGUGAAUCAUCGAAUCUUUGAACGCACAUUGCGCCCCUUGGUAUUCCAUGGGGCAUGCUUGUUCGAGCGUCAUUUGUACCCUCAAGCUUUGCUUGGUGUUGGGCGUUUGUCCGUUUCUUUGCAGAUGGACUCGCCUUAAAUUCAUUGGCAGCUAAAAUAUCGCGGCAAUCGCAGCACAAUUUGCGGGCGCAGUAGAUAAUGUUUGGCCUCCAGUAAGCCUAAAUAACACUUUUGACCUCGGAUCAAGUAGGGAUACCCGCUGAACUUAAGCAUAUCAAUAAGCGGAGGA
This 338-nucleotide unclassified non-coding RNA is filed under the name soil metagenome. RNAcentral's name for it is "partial contains 5.8S ribosomal RNA, internal transcribed spacer 2, and large subunit ribosomal RNA". The stretch from base 2 to 121 matches the Rfam family "5.8S ribosomal RNA", at positions 35 to 154 of the family's 154-position model. The record is from RNAcentral.